UACGGAGGGUGCGAGCGUUGUCCGGAAUCACUGGGCGUAAAGGGCGCGUAGGCGGCUCUGCAAGUCGGUUGUGAAAUUCCGGGGCUCAACUCCGGGGGUGCAUCCGAGACUGUAUGGCUAGAGCGCGGCAGGGGCGAGCGGAAUUCCCGGUGUAGCGGUGGAAUGCGUAGAUAUCGGGAAGAACACCAGUGGCGAAGGCGGCUCGCUGGGCCGACGCUGACGCUGAGGCGCGAAAGCGUGGGGAGCAAACAGG
Molecule: unclassified non-coding RNA, 253 nt
Filed under: uncultured Gemmatimonadaceae bacterium
Lineage: Bacteria; Pseudomonadati; Gemmatimonadota; Gemmatimonadia; Gemmatimonadales; Gemmatimonadaceae
Description: contains 16S-23S intergenic spacer region
Rfam family: Bacterial small subunit ribosomal RNA
Source: RNAcentral